UGGGGAAUAUUGGACAAUGCGGGAAACCGUGAUCCAGCAAUGCCGCGUGAGUGAUGAAGGCCCUAGGGUUGUAAAGCUCUUUUACCCGGGAUGAUAAUGACAGUACCGGGAGAAUAAGCUCCGGCUAACUCCGUGCCAGCAGCCGCGGUAAUACGGAGGGAGCUAGCGUUGUUCGGAAUUACUGGGCGUAAAGCGCGCGUAGGCGGCAGGCCAAGUCAGAGGUGAAAGCCCGGGGCUCAACCCCGGAACUGCCUUUGAAACUGGUCAGCUAGAAUCCGGGAGAGGUGAGUGGAAUUCCGAGUGUAGAGGUGAAAUUCGUAGAUAUUCGGAAGAACACCAGUGGCGAAGGCGGCUCACUGGACCGGUAUUGACGCUGAGGUGCGAAAGCGUGGGGAGCAAACAGGAUUAGAUACCCCCGUAGUCC
RNAcentral lists this ribosomal RNA (424 nucleotides) under uncultured prokaryote. RNAcentral describes it as "bacterial SSU rRNA". It matches the Rfam family "Bacterial small subunit ribosomal RNA", at positions 355 to 796 of the family's 1533-position model. The record is from RNAcentral.